This 224-nucleotide long non-coding RNA is filed under the name Prunus dulcis (almond). Its description in RNAcentral is "sRNA ncRNA". The record is from RNAcentral. Lineage: Eukaryota; Viridiplantae; Streptophyta; Magnoliopsida; Rosales; Rosaceae.
ACAUCAUAACCAAGAAGUACAAGAUACAUUCCAUUGUCUGCAGACGCACGUACUCAGAGAAGAAACUGAAUAUUCCAUCCAGCAGCUCUACAGUUUACAUCCCUUGCCAAAGCAUGCUGAAAUUACUCCCCAGUUCUACAUUCACAGCAAGGAAUUCGCUGAUAUUUUUUCGAAAUGUGGUAGAUUAGUCAAGGCCAAACCAUCCAGAUCAAGUUGGCAGCAAA